RNAcentral lists this ribosomal RNA (408 nucleotides) under Triticum aestivum (bread wheat). RNAcentral describes it as "partial small subunit ribosomal RNA". Lineage: Eukaryota; Viridiplantae; Streptophyta; Magnoliopsida; Poales; Poaceae. The record is from RNAcentral.
AUGCACGCCGAUGGCGCCAUCGAGGCAGUGACCCACAUCAUGAGCUCCGGCACGACGUGGCGCGCCAAGGAGAACGCCGCGACGGCCUUGCUCAGCCUGGCGUCCGUCCAUACGUGCCGCCGAGCCUUCCGUCGUGGAAAAGUUAGUCCACCUCGUGCGCACGGGCCCGACGAGCACAAAGAAGGACGCGCUGGCCGCGCUGCUGUCGCUGGCAGGCGAGAGGGAGAACGUCGGGAAGCUGAUGGAAGCUCGUGCGAGAAGCGAGCAACGGCAGCCUGCGGCGUAAGGGAGCAGCAGGAAAUAGGUGGCGCAAACGAGAUCGGGAGCAGCAAAUCCAUGCAGCCAACUCUCAAGGUCCUCCUCAUCGUGGGGAUCCUCAAUCUAACGCCGUUCUGUACCUCUGCCUGA